RNAcentral lists this ribosomal RNA (719 nucleotides) under Aptychella tenuiramea. Its description in RNAcentral is "eukaryotic LSU rRNA". It matches the Rfam family "Eukaryotic large subunit ribosomal RNA", at positions 59 to 772 of the family's 3401-position model. The record is from RNAcentral. Lineage: Eukaryota; Viridiplantae; Streptophyta; Bryopsida; Hypnales; Pylaisiadelphaceae.
AAGAAACUAACUCAGGAUUUCCCUAGUAACGGCGAGCGAACCGGAAAGAGCCCAGCUUGGAAAUCGUGGUGCUUCGCACCUCGAGUUGUAGUCUGGAGAAGGCUCCUCUGCGCCGCGCCGGGCCCAAGUUCCCUGGAAAGGGACGUCAUCGAGGGUGACAACCCCGUCCGCGCCCGGAACGCGUCGCUCCACGAGGACCUGUCUGCGAGUCGGGCUGUUUGGGAAUGCAGCCCUAAUCGGGAGGUAAAUUCCUUCCAAGGCUAAAUAUGGGCAAGAGACCGAUAGCGAACAAGUACCGCGAGGGAAAGAUGAAAAGGACUUUGAAAAGAGAGUUAAAAAGUGCUUGAAAUUGCUGGGAGGGAAGCGAAUGGAAGCUGCGGGUGCGCCCCGGUUGGAUGUGGAACGGCUUCGGCUGGUCCGCCGCUCAACGCGGGGCGCUGGUCAGCGUGGGCCGUGGCGCCGGGACAAGAGCGGGGAUUCGCUUUCCGCCUAUGCCGGUGCCGCGGCCGAGGCACGAAGCGCGCGCCGCCAGGCGUGGGUUCGCCCCAACUGCGCGCUCGGGACGCUGGCGUAUUGAGCUCUUCAUCCGACCCGUCUUGAAACACGGACCAAGGAGUCUAACAUGUAUGCGAGCCGGUGGGCGGCAAACCCAUUGAGGCGCAAGGAACCUGACAGGUGGGACCCCGACCGCGAGGGAGGGAGCACCAUCGACCGACCGU